Aedes albopictus (Asian tiger mosquito) is the source of this 74-nucleotide non-coding RNA. Lineage: Eukaryota; Metazoa; Arthropoda; Insecta; Diptera; Culicidae. The record is from Rfam.
UGUUCUGUGGCCUAAUUGGUUAAAGCGCCGGUCAAGCAAAUACGGAGUCGUGGGUUCGAAUCCCAACAGAACGC